AAUUCGAUUAGAGUUUGAUCCUGGCUCAGGACGAACGCUGGCGGCGUGCCUAAUACAUGCAAGUCGAGCGGACAGAAGGGAGCUUGCUCCCGGACGUUAGCGGCCCACGGGUGAGUAACACGUAGGUAACCUGCCCCUUAGACUGGGAUAACUCCGGGAAACCGGAGCUAAUACGGGAUAAUAAAGAGAAUCACCUGAUUCUCUUUUGAAAGACGGUUUCGGCUGUCACUAAGGGAUGGGCCUGCGGCGCAUUAGCUAGUUGGUAAGGUAACGGCUUACCAAGGCGACGAUGCGUAGCCGACCUGAGAGGGUGAUCGGCCACACUGGGACUGAGACACGGCCCAGACUCCUACGGGAGGCAGCAGUAGGGAAUCUUCCGCAAUGGACGAAAGUCUGACGGAGCAACGCCGCGUGAGUGAGGAAGGCCUUCGGGUCGUAAAGCUCUGUUGUGAGGGAAGAACAAGUACCGGAGUAACUACCGGUACCUUGACGGUACCUCACCAGAAAGCCACGGCUAACUACGUGCCAGCAGCCGCGGUAAUACGUAGGUGGCAAGCGUUGUCCGGAAUUAUUGGGCGUAAAGCGCGCGCAGGCGGCUUCUUAAGUCUGAUGUGAAAUCUCGGGGCUCAACCCCGAGCGGCCAUUGGAAACUGGGAAGCUUGAGUGCAGAAGAGGAGAGUGGAAUUCCACGUGUAGCGGUGAAAUGCGUAGAUAUGUGGAGGAACACCAGUGGCGAAGGCGACUCUCUGGUCUGUAACUGACGCUGAGGCGCGAAAGCGUGGGGAGCAAACAGGAUUAGAUACCCUGGUAGUCCACGCCGUAAACGAUGAGUGCUAGGUGUUAGGGGUUUCGAUGCCCGUAGUGCCGAAGUAAACACAUUAAGCACUCCGCCUGGGGAGUACGGCCGCAAGGCUGAAACUCAAAGGAAUUGACGGGGACC
This 940-nucleotide ribosomal RNA is filed under the name uncultured bacterium. RNAcentral's name for it is "bacterial SSU rRNA". It matches the Rfam family "Bacterial small subunit ribosomal RNA", at positions 1 to 921 of the family's 1533-position model. The record is from RNAcentral.